UACAGAGGGUGCGAGCGUUGUUCGGAAUUAUUGGGCGUAAAGGGCGCGUAGGCGGUGCCACAAGUCACCUGUGAAAUCCCCGGGCUUAACUCGGGGCCUGCAGGCGAAACUGUGGUGCUGGAGUAUGGGAGAGGUGCGUGGAAUUACCGGUGUAGCGGUGAAAUGCGUAGAUAUCGGUAGGAACACCAGUGGCGAAGGCGGUCUCCUGGGGCACUCUUGACGCUGAGGCGCGAAAGCUGGGGGAGCGAACGGG
This 253-nucleotide ribosomal RNA is filed under the name uncultured prokaryote. RNAcentral's name for it is "partial 16S ribosomal RNA". It matches the Rfam family "Bacterial small subunit ribosomal RNA", at positions 524 to 776 of the family's 1533-position model. The record is from RNAcentral.